This 253-nucleotide ribosomal RNA is filed under the name uncultured bacterium. RNAcentral describes it as "partial 16S ribosomal RNA". It matches the Rfam family "Bacterial small subunit ribosomal RNA", at positions 524 to 776 of the family's 1533-position model. The record is from RNAcentral.
UACAGAGGCCUCGAGCGUUAGGCGGAAUCACUGGGCUUAAAGCGUGUGUAGGCGGACUUCUAAGUACCUUGUGAAAUCCCACGGCUUACCCGUGGAACUGCUUGGUAUACUGGUUGUCUUGAGCCACCUAGGGGCGAGUGGAACAAAUGGUGGAGCGGUGAAAUGCGUAGAUAUCAUUUGGAACGCCAAUGGUGAAAACAACUCGCUGGGGGUGUGCUGACGCUGAGACACGAAAGCCAGGGGAGCGAACGGG